GUCGCCGAUAGCACGUGACUCCGGGUCGACCCUGCAAUUGGAGAGCCCUGGCCCCGCCCCUGACCCUGGAGUUGGCCCCGCCCACCGAUCUGGGGAGGGAGCCAUUUUCACGGUUCCGCCCUGGAGGGCAGCAGGUGGUGUUGAGCCCAUCCGGACGCUGACUGAGCUCGGUUGAGGCCUCUGUGUAAACUGCAAGCUUCUGGCGGUGGGGGCGGAGAGGUGCCCCUCCCCAGGUUCCCUGGCUGCUUAAAACUGCCCCUGGGGUGGCCUGCCUCCGUCUCCUGUGUCUCUCUGUGCUGCGUGCGCUCCGUGCGCUGGCCGGUUUCGGAUGCCAGGGGGACCCGGGCGUUGGCACCUGCAGGGCUCAGGACUUCACCCCCAGCUCCGGAGGGGCGGCGGGCCAUCAACUGAGUGGGGAAGACGAAAGAAGAGCCGCCUUGUGGGCUAGAAGGCUGAGCCCCAGAGAUGAAGAACCUACCAGCCUGCUCUGCAGUCAGCUCCCCAGCACCAGCUUACACGAGCUGAGUAACCUUAGAGGAAAUCGCUGAAGCUCAGAGAGGUUGGGUCACUUUCCUGACAUCACACCGUAACCGGCAGAGCUCAGAGUGGACCCCAACCUGAGAUCAGAGAGGUAGCAACACCCCCUAACCAGCGGACACGCGAGGGCUGGCACAGUUUUCUGCGGGCCCGUCUUAGGAUCGGGAAGCAGCCAGCUCCGUGUGCAGAGUGGGGCUGGAUAAACGCUUUAGAGGCGGCGGCCAGAGCCGGGUCUGGAAUCCGUCCUCGGUCCCGGACUCCAGCACGUUGAUGCCACAUGGGGAGGGGCACAAAGGGAGCUGGUUUUGAGAUGCAGCGACGUGACAGCAGCCUCUUCACGCUCAGAUUUCCUAUCAGUGCCUUGGUCUGGAAUAAAAGAUGUGCCACAGCUGCUGCGUCCCCGCGUCAGAGAGGUCGUGGGCAGUCGUAUCCACGCCGUGCUUUCUUUCCCUUGCGUUCUGGCUCUGGAACAGUCACGGUUUCGGUUUGAGCCAUCCAGGAGGCCGUUGCAAGCCUGUUAACAGUUCUGGGCUUCAUUCAUGUGUAUCAGAGAAGUGCAGGGCUCUGUCGUUAACACGCAUUGACGGGUGGCGAUGGCAACCCACAAAGGGUUCAAGCCGCCUCCACUUUAGGGUCAAGAGUACAGACGCGUGCGUGUGUGCGUGAGAGAGAGAGCAGGCGACCCCCCCACUUAAUCGGCAAUUUCUCUCUCCUCCCGUUGUGCCACACAUACACGCACACGUGUGC
Molecule: long non-coding RNA, 1284 nt
Organism: Acinonyx jubatus (cheetah)
Lineage: Eukaryota; Metazoa; Chordata; Mammalia; Carnivora; Felidae
Exons: 3
Source: RefSeq, a predicted model, not a curated record